Poecilia latipinna (sailfin molly) is the source of this 457-nucleotide long non-coding RNA. RefSeq lists it as uncharacterized. Lineage: Eukaryota; Metazoa; Chordata; Actinopteri; Cyprinodontiformes; Poeciliidae. The transcript has 2 exons. The record is from RefSeq and is a predicted model, not a curated record.
GGUUGUUUGUCUGUCUCUGUGUUGCCCUGCGACAGACUGGUGACCUGUCCAGGGUGUACCCCGCCUCUCACCCAGAAUGUUAGGUGGAGAUGGGCAAUAGCACCUCCCGACCCCAUUAAGGGUGUACAGAAAAUGGAUGGAUGGAUGGUGAUUUAGUUUUCUUCGGAAUAUUUUAUUGUUUUUCCUACUUGUAGACCAAAGAUGCUGUUGCCAUAAGGACCUCUACUCUGGGAUGUCUCUCAGUUUUCCUCGACAACGAUGGAGGAGAGUUGUACAAUGUCUCUUGAUUCAGAUGCCAUGGCAGACUUCAUCCAGGUUCCUGUGUGGUUAUUGACUGUUAUGUUAUGCUAAGUAUAUCAUUUUGUUAAAAUAAAACGUUGAAUCUUGUAAAUUUAAAAUCUGUGCCUGUGGUAGGCUGAACUAUUUUGAAGUUUCUUGUUACUAAUUAAACACUGAC